Molecule: ribosomal RNA, 1531 nt
Filed under: Salmonella enterica
Lineage: Bacteria; Pseudomonadati; Pseudomonadota; Gammaproteobacteria; Enterobacterales; Enterobacteriaceae
Also listed under: 7 other names
Description: bacterial SSU rRNA
Rfam family: Bacterial small subunit ribosomal RNA
Source: RNAcentral
AAAUUGAAGAGUUUGAUCAUGGCUCAGAUUGAACGCUGGCGGCAGGCCUAACACAUGCAAGUCGAACGGUAACAGGAAGCAGCUUGCUGCUUUGCUGACGAGUGGCGGACGGGUGAGUAAUGUCUGGGAAACUGCCUGAUGGAGGGGGAUAACUACUGGAAACGGUGGCUAAUACCGCAUAACGUCGCAAGACCAAAGAGGGGGACCUUCGGGCCUCUUGCCAUCAGAUGUGCCCAGAUGGGAUUAGCUUGUUGGUGAGGUAACGGCUCACCAAGGCGACGAUCCCUAGCUGGUCUGAGAGGAUGACCAGCCACACUGGAACUGAGACACGGUCCAGACUCCUACGGGAGGCAGCAGUGGGGAAUAUUGCACAAUGGGCGCAAGCCUGAUGCAGCCAUGCCGCGUGUAUGAAGAAGGCCUUCGGGUUGUAAAGUACUUUCAGCGGGGAGGAAGGUGUUGUGGUUAAUAACCGCAGCAAUUGACGUUACCCGCAGAAGAAGCACCGGCUAACUCCGUGCCAGCAGCCGCGGUAAUACGGAGGGUGCAAGCGUUAAUCGGAAUUACUGGGCGUAAAGCGCACGCAGGCGGUCUGUCAAGUCGGAUGUGAAAUCCCCGGGCUCAACCUGGGAACUGCAUUCGAAACUGGCAGGCUUGAGUCUUGUAGAGGGGGGUAGAAUUCCAGGUGUAGCGGUGAAAUGCGUAGAGAUCUGGAGGAAUACCGGUGGCGAAGGCGGCCCCCUGGACAAAGACUGACGCUCAGGUGCGAAAGCGUGGGGAGCAAACAGGAUUAGAUACCCUGGUAGUCCACGCCGUAAACGAUGUCUACUUGGAGGUUGUGCCCUUGAGGCGUGGCUUCCGGAGCUAACGCGUUAAGUAGACCGCCUGGGGAGUACGGCCGCAAGGUUAAAACUCAAAUGAAUUGACGGGGGCCCGCACAAGCGGUGGAGCAUGUGGUUUAAUUCGAUGCAACGCGAAGAACCUUACCUGGUCUUGACAUCCACAGAACUUUCCAGAGAUGGAUUGGUGCCUUCGGGAACUGUGAGACAGGUGCUGCAUGGCUGUCGUCAGCUCGUGUUGUGAAAUGUUGGGUUAAGUCCCGCAACGAGCGCAACCCUUAUCCUUUGUUGCCAGCGAUUAGGUCGGGAACUCAAAGGAGACUGCCAGUGAUAAACUGGAGGAAGGUGGGGAUGACGUCAAGUCAUCAUGGCCCUUACGACCAGGGCUACACACGUGCUACAAUGGCGCAUACAAAGAGAAGCGACCUCGCGAGAGCAAGCGGACCUCAUAAAGUGCGUCGUAGUCCGGAUUGGAGUCUGCAACUCGACUCCAUGAAGUCGGAAUCGCUAGUAAUCGUGGAUCAGAAUGCCACGGUGAAUACGUUCCCGGGCCUUGUACACACCGCCCGUCACACCAUGGGAGUGGGUUGCAAAAGAAGUAGGUAGCUUAACCUUCGGGAGGGCGCUUACCACUUUGUGAUUCAUGACUGGGGUGAAGUCGUAACAAGGUAACCGUAGGGGAACCUGCGGUUGGA